This 63-nucleotide small nuclear RNA is filed under the name Cervus elaphus hippelaphus. The record is from RNAcentral. Lineage: Eukaryota; Metazoa; Chordata; Mammalia; Artiodactyla; Cervidae.
UACUUACGUCAGCCACAAAUAGAUUAAAAUUGGACCCAUACAGAGAUGAUUAGCAUGACCUUU